RNAcentral lists this ribosomal RNA (671 nucleotides) under uncultured bacterium. RNAcentral describes it as "bacterial SSU rRNA". It matches the Rfam family "Bacterial small subunit ribosomal RNA", at positions 1 to 652 of the family's 1533-position model. The record is from RNAcentral.
CCCUUAGAGUUUGAUCCUGGCUCAGAAUCAACGCUGGCGGCGUGCCUCAGACAUGCAAGUCGAACGCGAAAGCCUCCUUCGGGGGGCAAGUAGAGUGGCGCACGGGUGAGUAACACGUAGGUAAUCUACCUUUGGAUUGGGAAUAACCACCGGAAACGGUGGCUAAUACCGAAUAAUGCAGCGGCACCUAAUGGUGACAGUUGUUAAAGCGGGGGAUCGAAAGACCUCGCGUCUGAAGAGGAGCCUGCGGCAGAUUAGCUAGUUGGUAAGGUAACGGCUUACCAAGGCGAUGAUCUGUAGCCGGCCUGAGAGGGCGGUCGGCCACACUGACACUGACAUACGGGUCAGACUCCUACGGGAGGCAGCAGUCGGGAAUUUUGGGCAAUGGGCGAAAGCCUGACCCAGCAACGCCGCGUGAAGGAUGAAAUCCUUCGGGAUGUAAACUUCGCAAGAACGGGAAGAAUAAGUAAGAGCUAACAUCUCUUACGAUGACGGUACUGUUUGUAAGCUCCGGCUAACUCCGUGCCAGCAGCCGCGGUAAUACGGGGGGAGCAAGCGUUGUUCGGAUUUACUGGGCGUAAAGGGCGCGUAGGCGGCCACCGCAAGUCGACUGUGAAAUCUCCGGGCUUAACCCGGAAAGGUCAGCCGAUACUGCGGGGCUAGAGUGCAGA